UGUAACUCUGCGAGGGGAAAAGGCACCUCCUAGCACCCUUAACAAACAACAUUUCCCAGGAUUCUUUGGGGAAAGUCACAAUUGUUUAAAAAGUGGUACAGUUCUGCUUUGAAUGUGGAGGACAGAUGGCGCCAUAGUUGACUGGGAGUUCUUGUACAACAAGUCUACUUCCAAAAAGGUAGGCUUUUUGUGGGAUAUUUGCUCUGAUGCAAUGUCAUCUAACCUCCCCAUAAGCAAAUCAGGAUGAAUCCAUCAUACAGAGGUGUCUGAAAGCACCUUAACUGCAACACACUUCAACAGGGUUAGUUCUCACAUUCAGCUCCUUAUUUUUAAGGUACAAUGAUUACGUAGAGAUAUCACGUGAUGGACACGUACGACAGCCCCUUGAGUUCAGGGUAUUGUCAUCUCUGGCUAACGGAUGAGCGCAAUGAAUUUCUCACUGUCUCCAUUCUUUAUCCGGCUGUGGGAUCCUUUCACAUUGCUGACAUGAGGAAAUAAUAAUAAUAAUAAUAAUAAUAAUAAUAAUAAUAAUAAUUUAUUAUUUAUACCCCGCCCAUCUGUUGGGCGGCUCCCAACAGAAUUAAAAACACAAUAAAACACCAAACAUUAAAAACUUCCCUAAACAGGGUUGCCUUCAGAUGUCUUCUAAAAGUCAGAUAGUUGUUUAUUUCCUUGACACCUGAUGGGAGGGCAUUUCACAGCGUGGGUGCCACUACUGAGAAGGCUCUCUGCCUGGUUCCCUGUAACUUCACUUCUCACAGGGAGGGAACCACCAGAAGGCCCUCAGAGCUGGACCUCAGUGUCCGGGCUGAAUUUCCAACUGGUGUUUGUGUUUGUGUGUGUUGAGGGGGGGCAUUGUCCCAUGCUGAGAAGCGGGGUGGAACAAAGUGAAGCAGCACACUCUUUAUCUGGCUGUGCAGAUGUUAUUGGCCCAGAGAUGGAAAGAAGACAAAGUCCCAACCAGAGAAGAAUGGCAGAUUAAGUUGAUGGAUUAUGCCAAAAUGGCAAAAAUGACCGGAAGAAUCAGAAAUCAGGAAGACCAAAAUUUUAAUAAGGAAUGAGGAAAAUUUACAAUUUAUCUUAAAAACCAUUGUAAACAGCUAAAUCUGUUAGCAGGAUUAGAAUUACAUUUGUAGUUUAAUGAUGAGUUUUGGACAUAAUGGAGAUGUAAAAGAUUUGGAUGAUCAUAAAAGAUGCAGGGAAAAAUGAUUAACAAUAGGACUCACAAAGGGGAGAAGUCCCAGAGAUUCUUUGGAAUCUUGUUUUUAUGUUGUACAUUGGAUAUGUAAUUGUAAAACAUUAAUCUGAAAACCAAAUAAAUAAAUUUAUAUUUUUUUAAAGAAGCGACACACUCUGUGUGGGGGUUGAGAGCAGCCAAGCAGAUGAUGUAAGGAGGGAGAUGAGCAGUAAACCAAGUUCAAGAUGGGUAAAGGUGUGCGCCUACAAGAGACGAGAGAGGAUGAUUACUUCAGCAGGAACGCUUUAAGUAGACUGGAGAAGCAGGGGAAGAAGGGAGCAAGGAACAAAGGAGGGGGUCACAGCAGUGCCAGAUAAGCACAUUCUCAAGGCUUCUGUUAUAUUUGGAAGCACUGCAGCUCUGAAAAAGAUGUUGUGGAGUAUCAACCAAGAUAAAGCUUCACACACACACACACACACACACACACACAC
Molecule: long non-coding RNA, 1668 nt
Filed under: Podarcis lilfordi (Lilford's wall lizard)
Lineage: Eukaryota; Metazoa; Chordata; Lepidosauria; Squamata; Lacertidae
Source: RNAcentral